RNAcentral lists this ribosomal RNA (355 nucleotides) under Gordonia sp. DG. Its description in RNAcentral is "bacterial SSU rRNA". It matches the Rfam family "Bacterial small subunit ribosomal RNA", at positions 371 to 738 of the family's 1533-position model. The record is from RNAcentral. Lineage: Bacteria; Bacillati; Actinomycetota; Actinomycetes; Mycobacteriales; Gordoniaceae.
AUGGGCGCAAGCCUGAUGCAGCGACGCCGCGUGAGGGAUGACGGCCUUCGGGUUGUAAACCUCUUUCAGCAGGGACGAAGCGCGAGUGACGGUACCUGCAGAAGAAGCACCGGCCAACUACGUGCCAGCAGCCGCGGUAAUACGUAGGGUGCGAGCGUUGUCCGGAAUUACUGGGCGUAAAGAGCUCGUAGGCGGUUUGUCGCGUCGUCUGUGAAAUUCUGCAGCUUAACUGCAGGCGUGCAGGCGAUACGGGCAGACUUGAGUACUACAGGGGAGACUGGAAUUCCUGGUGUAGCGGUGAAAUGCNCAGAUUUNAGGAGGAAAACCGGUGGCGAAGGCNGGUCUUUNGGUAGUA